RNAcentral lists this ribosomal RNA (370 nucleotides) under uncultured bacterium. Its description in RNAcentral is "bacterial SSU rRNA". It matches the Rfam family "Bacterial small subunit ribosomal RNA", at positions 917 to 1289 of the family's 1533-position model. The record is from RNAcentral.
GGGCCCGCACAAGCGGUGGAGCAUGUGGUUUAAUUCGAUGAUACGCGAGGAACCUUACCAGGGCUUAAAUGCAGAAUGACAGAUUGGGAAACCAGUCCUUCUUCGGACAUUUUUGCAAGGUGCUGCAUGGUUGUCGUCAGCUCGUGCCGUGAGGUGUCAGGUUAAGUCCUAUAACGAGCGCAACCCCCUAUCAUUAGUUGCCAGCGGGUAAUGCCGGGAACUCUAAUGAGACUGCCAGCGCAAGCUGCGAGGAAGGUGGGAUGACGUCAAAUCAUCACGGCCCUUACGUUCUGGGCUACACACGUGCUACAAUGGCCGGUACAGAAAGCAGCCACUAUGCGAAUAGGAGCUAAUCUUUAAAACCGGUCUC